GACGAACGCUGGCGGCGUGUUUAACCCAUGCAAGUUGAACGAGAAGACUGAAGUGGAACCUUCGGGUGAAGCAUUAGUUAGACAGUAGCGAACGGGUGAGUAACGCGUGAAUAACCAACCCUCCACAGGGGGACAACAUCUGGAAACGGAUGCUAAUACCGCAUAAGACCACGGUACCGCAUGGUACAGGGGUAAAAGAUUUAUCGGUGGAGGACGGAUUCGCGUUCCAUUAGCUAGUAGGUAGGGUAAUGGCCUACCUAGGCAACGAUGGAUAGCCGAGCUGAGAGGCUGAUCGGCCACACUGGAACUGAGAUACGGUCCAGACUCCUACGGGAGGCAGCAGGGAAGAAUAUUGUACAAUGGGCGAAAGCCUGAUACAGCAACGCCGCGUGAAGGAAGAAGGCCUUCGGGUUGUAAACUUCUGUGACGAGGGACGAAAAAAAUGACGGUACCUCGAGAGGAAGCUCCGGCAAACUACGUGCCAGCAGCCGCGGUAAUACGUAGGGGGCAAGCGUUGUCCGGAAUCACUGGGCGUAAAGGGCGCGUAGGCGGCCGAAUAAGUUGAAUGUGAAAUCCCAG
RNAcentral lists this ribosomal RNA (579 nucleotides) under uncultured Bacillota bacterium. Its description in RNAcentral is "bacterial SSU rRNA". It matches the Rfam family "Bacterial small subunit ribosomal RNA", at positions 28 to 605 of the family's 1533-position model. Lineage: Bacteria; Bacillati; Bacillota. The record is from RNAcentral.